UAAAAGAAAGUUUGCAGCCUGAUCUCCUCUGUGCCCAGAAGCUACGGUAAGCAGGAUUGGGCCUAGAUGGUACUGGAUGGGUGACCACCAGGGGGAUAAUAGGUGUCAUUUUGC
Molecule: ribosomal RNA, 114 nt
Filed under: Amphilophus citrinellus (Midas cichlid)
Lineage: Eukaryota; Metazoa; Chordata; Actinopteri; Cichliformes; Cichlidae
Source: RNAcentral